GUGUUGGGUGUAUGAAUUGGCCUGCAAAGCCGCGUACCUCGGUUCGAUUCCGGGCCCAGCCUCCA
RNAcentral lists this transfer RNA (65 nucleotides) under Acidithiobacillus caldus ATCC 51756. RNAcentral's name for it is "tRNA-Und (NNN) (tRNA-Und-NNN-3-1)". Lineage: Bacteria; Pseudomonadati; Pseudomonadota; Acidithiobacillia; Acidithiobacillales; Acidithiobacillaceae. The record is from RNAcentral.